RNAcentral lists this transfer RNA (79 nucleotides) under Desmophyllum pertusum. Its description in RNAcentral is "tRNA-Ala". The record is from RNAcentral. Lineage: Eukaryota; Metazoa; Cnidaria; Anthozoa; Scleractinia; Caryophylliidae.
UCCCUUGCCUUACUGUGCUCAUUGGUAGAGCGUCCGACUGGCAUGCGGAAGGUCAUAGAUUUGACUCCUGUUGGGAGAA